GAUGGACAUGUAAAUUUAAAGGAGCCUAGUGUUAGUGUAUGCUGUACACCCAAAUCCUGUUCUCAAAAGAGAAGCUGAUUGAACCCUAGUUCUGGCUUAUGCAAGAAGGGAGAAACUCACAUUUUCACAAAUUGCAAGGCGCUAGCAACAUCCCUAUGUAAUACAUACACAUCUCCAUCUUACAGGCCACCUUCCCUCCACAACAUCUUCUCGGCUUGGAUCACUCUGCAAUUUCCUGCUCUUUCCUCAGCUCCAUUUGCCAUGGCAAUGGGUUAAAAACAGAAAACCAACAGCCACAGCCUGCAUUCCUCGUUAAAGACAAGAUAAAUACAACUCGCUGUCC
RNAcentral lists this long non-coding RNA (343 nucleotides) under Dromaius novaehollandiae (emu). RNAcentral describes it as "lncRNA (ENSDNVG00000006897.1)". Lineage: Eukaryota; Metazoa; Chordata; Aves; Casuariiformes; Dromaiidae. The record is from RNAcentral.